GUGAACCUGCGGAAGGAUCAUUAGUGAAUAAUCUGUGUGGGUUGUUGCUGACUCCUCGGGGUAUGUGCACACUUGCCAGUUUCAUUCAUCCCUUCCACCUGUGCACUCUUUGUAGAUCAUUCCAUUGUAUUUGACAUGCCCUCUGGGCGUCUCAGUGUGAGGACUUGCUCUUCUUGCUGUCCUUGAAUGGGGUGGUCUAUGUCUUUAUCAACUCUGUAUGUUAUUGAAUGUCUGUUCUGGGUACUAUACAGACCCAUAAAACCUUAUACAACUUUCAACAACGGAUCUCUUGGCUCUCGCAUCGAUGAAGAACGCAGCGAAAUGCGAUAAGUAAUGUGAAUUGCAGAAUUCAGUGAAUCAUCGAAUCUUUGAACGCACCUUGCGCUCCUUGGUAUUCCGAGGAGCAUGCCUGUUUGAGUGUCAUUAAAAUUCUCAACCCCAUCUUUCUUGUGAAUGAAUGGUGUUUGGAUGUGGAAGCCUGCUGGCCUUGCAUAGGUCAGCUCUUCUGAAAUACAUUAGCGGGGCCGCUGUAUGCGAAGCUGCAGCUUGGUAAUGAUAAAUGUCUUACCAGGUCACAGUUAAGCAAAGUGCCCAGCUUACAGUCGUCUCUGUGAGACACUUGACAUGACAAUUUGACCUCAAAUCAGGUAGGACUACCCGCUGAACUUAAGCAUA
RNAcentral lists this ribosomal RNA (675 nucleotides) under Pluteus hispidulus var. cephalocystis. RNAcentral's name for it is "eukaryotic LSU rRNA". The stretch from base 270 to 423 matches the Rfam family "5.8S ribosomal RNA". Lineage: Eukaryota; Fungi; Basidiomycota; Agaricomycetes; Agaricales; Pluteaceae. The record is from RNAcentral.